This 649-nucleotide unclassified non-coding RNA is filed under the name Hevea brasiliensis (rubber tree). The record is from RNAcentral. Lineage: Eukaryota; Viridiplantae; Streptophyta; Magnoliopsida; Malpighiales; Euphorbiaceae.
AUUCAGAGAUGAACUAGCCAUUAAUCAACAAAAUACAAGCCAGUCAAGCUCCAUAAUUAAGGCAAUUUUCAAGUGAAACUAGGCAUGAAAUGUUUUCCUCUGCCUAUACAUACUUUGGCUAUUUUACUAUACUCACAGAAUAUUCACGUAUAGCAAGUCAUUUGCUAAGUUAGAAUCUCGACACACUGGAAGAGGCGGCACCAACUGAUAUACAUACCAUCUGCAUUCAUAGAUCUCUCCUACGUAAUACGAUUUUCAGGAUGCAAUUCGGACUGCUAAUACCAGUCCAACAGAAACCAUCACCUUCAAUUGGCAUGGAGCCUUUUUUCCAUUUCCAAAAACAAAUAUGUACGUGAUAGAGCUUCAAAAGUCAUUGCAUACUGCAACAUGAGCUUGAAUUCAUCUUCUCCUGCCAUAAUAAAGGCCACCACCUGAAUGAUGCAGAUAGCGAUGACGCGAGCCACUACCCCUACCAGGUGCAUCCCAUGUGCUGCCCCUAUGAGCAACCCUACUCCCACUGCUUUGAGUCCAGCUUGGUGGCUGGUUCCCUAACCCAUUUAGCUCUUCCUCCUCUCUAUCAUUGUACUCCAGAACCAGCCUCUUGAUGUCUUGCUUUUCUUCAAGUUCAGCUGCUUCUUUCUGUUUCGUG